This 495-nucleotide ribosomal RNA is filed under the name uncultured bacterium. RNAcentral's name for it is "bacterial SSU rRNA". It matches the Rfam family "Bacterial small subunit ribosomal RNA", at positions 29 to 518 of the family's 1533-position model. The record is from RNAcentral.
AUGAACGCCAGCGACAGGCCUAACACAUGCAAGUCAGGGGCAGCACAAGGAGCAAUCUGAGGUGGCGACCGGCGCACGGGUGAGUAACACGUAUGCAACCCGCCUGUAAGCGGGGAAUAACCCGUUGAAAGACGGACUAAUACCGCAUAAUACUAAAUUACUGCAUGGUAAUUUAUUUAAACAUUUAUGGCUUACAGAUGGGCAUGCGCAUGAUUAGCUAGUUGGAGAGGUAACGGCUCCCCAAGGCAACGAUCAUUAGGGGUUCUGAGAGGAAGGUCCCCCACACUGGUACUGAGACACGGACCAGACUCCUACGGGAGGCAGCAGUGAGGAAUAUUGGUCAAUGGACGAGAGUCUGAACCAGCCAAGUCGCGUGCAGGAAGAAUGUCCUUAAUGGAUUGUAAACUGCUUUUGCAGGGGAAUAAAGUGCAUCACGUGUGAUGUUUUGUAUGUACUCUGCGAAUAAGGAUCGGCUAACUCCGUGCCAGCCGCUGC